Teleopsis dalmanni is the source of this 369-nucleotide long non-coding RNA. RefSeq lists it as uncharacterized. The transcript is spliced from 2 exons. The record is from RefSeq and is a predicted model, not a curated record. NCBI's taxonomy places the organism in Eukaryota, Metazoa, Arthropoda, Insecta, Diptera, Diopsidae.
UGCAAUCGUUUCUGAAAAUUCAUCAGUGAAACUUUUAAGUUGAACAGAAAACAUAAUAAAAAACUUCAGAAUGAAAUUCGUUGCAUUUGGAUUCUUGCUUGCCAUGAUCUUGGCUCUCUUUGCCAAUACCCUGGCCAAUCCUAAAGUAGCUCUUACUCCAGAAGAUCCACGUCAUCAUCCUUCAUCAGUUGAAUUUAACCAAUUCGCUCCAGAUGCCAGCUCUCCUUUUUAGAUAAUUGUUUUCGAUAAAAUGUUGAAGAAGGCGAUUUCAAUUAUUUUAGGACACUAUUAGUUUAUAUAUUAAAAGUUGCUUUUAGUUGCUUAAAUGGGAUAUAACAAAUAAAUGAAAUUCACUUUUUUCAAAUGAAA